UCAGACAGGGUCAGGCAGGGUCGGCCUGGCACCAUGCAUCAGGUCACCUAGGGCUUGAACCAAGGGGCGGGGGCGGGGUCUGGCUCCACGUGCCCACCUGCUGCGGUCUCCGCCCCUGCCCCAGGGCUGCAGCUGGGACCAGCCCGGGCCGGACACCACCACCGGACACUCCACGGCUGGGAGGCCCACUUAGAUGUGGGGCGUUGACCUGGGGCCUGUCCCCCGUGGCGUGGCUCCUGCCAGUGGGGCAGUCCUGGGGGCUGAGGGAAGGCACAUGCCCAUUCUGGGGAGCCUGGUGAGGUGAAGCGCCCCCAGAGGCCUCCUGAGCGCGUGGGCAGCUGGGCCCAGGGCCAUGGGGUCCCAUGAGCCCCCACCUGGCCUGUCUGGCAGAGAGGAGCGACCUGGACACGACCCUGGCGGAGAUGCAGUGGGGGUGGACAUGGCUCCUGUCUAGACCUGUGGACCCCAACUCCGGCCCGCCAGCCUGACCUCUGUCUGCGGGGACAGGAGACCGCGAGGAUGGCCGGAUGGAGGAGGCAGAGUGGCGGUGUGUUGUUCAAAGCUGCCCAACCCCAAGCCCCCUCCAUCCUGCCCAGUCUGGCCAGGCGACCGUGGCUGUGCGUGGGAGGACUCUGGAGAUGGAGCCGCUGCGGGGACAGCGAUGUCCCAUGACCAGCCAGGGGGCCUGGGCUUUGGGCACCCCCCUUUGCAGGGGAUGGGAGUUGGGUCUAGGCAGCAGACCUCCCCACCCCUUCUAGGAUCUGGACCUGAUGCUUCCCUCCUACCCCACCCCUGUUACCGACUUGCGUCAGGUUCUGCCAACCUGUUGGAACAAACACAGUCUGGUUGCCAUGGUGAUCAUAAUGGCUUUGGGGUGAAGAGAUGGUCCGCAGCUGCGGUAGGGAAACUGAGGCCCAGACGUACGAAAGGACUUUGGGCCCACUGACCUGCACCUCCAUUCUCCUGAGAUCUGUUCCCUGGGGGCUCGGGGAGCUUGCUGAACAACGGACUCCCCAUCCCACCAUUCCCCCAAUGGUGUUGAGACUGAGUCAGGCCGUCCUUGAUCAGAGUCCUGGCUCCAUUCACCCCUGCCCGUCUCUCUUUCCACUGCCCUGUGCCUCAGUUCCCCUCAUCUGUAAAGGGAAGGAACACCUGGAGGCUGAUCUCAGAGGUCUGAUGUCCACUUGGGCCCAGGAGGAACUCCUCUCGCAGUAGGCAGAGGUCAGUGGGGUCUGUGACCCGAGGACAGAGGCUGGAGACGGGUUAGGCGUUGCCUGCCCAGGGUAGGAAUCUUCCUCUGUCCCGAGAGCUGUGGCUUCGCUGGGUGUGUGCCUGGGCCUGGUCUCUGCGCUCACCUGCAUCCACGGCAGAUGCUCCAUGGAUCUUCUGUGGCCAGCCCCAGGCACACGAGAAGCCGGCUCAGAAACAGGAUGCACUGUGGGAGUGUGGUUUUUGAGGGGCCCUGCGGGAGGGGGGGGCAGAAGCCCCAGCUCAGUAUCAGGGUGCUGACCCAGCUUGGGGGCGGGUCCUCAAACCCCGCAUCCUGGGACCCUCCCUGCUGGAGCUGACCCAGACAGGUUCCAGCAGAUCCAUGUUAAGUGCUGGGCCCUCCAACCUGGCAUGAGUUGUCAUGGCAACACAUCAGCAGAUCCAGACACAGGCGGAGGACUCCUCAGGCUGCCCAGGGCACCUGGGAACUGGGGCUGCUUCUGCGGGGUUCAGGGGCCACGAUGUGGUGGAGAUCGACCGCAGCCUGGCUGGCCACUGAGGUGGGGACACAGGUGUCUCCAUAAUGCUCCUGGCUGCCACGAGCACUGUGAGCAUCUCAGAUCCACUCCCUGAGGGCUGCCCAGGGAGGUCCCCGCAGGACCCCAGGGUGCUGUUUGCCAAGGGGGCAGGCCCUGCAGCGGUUACAGAGGCUCGAGGCGGCCUUGGGACUGGGGCGGGCAGGACGGCAGGAAAGGACACGACGUGAAGGCUGCAGUUUGUGGAAAUGUUUUAAUUGAGGAUUCUUAGAUACAGUGGUUAAUGGGUUGCCCACAAUUCCUCCCCGACACGAGGCCUCAUGCUGGGACACUGCUGCCCUCCCCCCCCUCCAACAGCAUGACCGCAGUUCACGCUCUUGGGUUACAAGAGUCACAGCUCCAUUAAGCCGAGGACUGUGGUACAAAAGGAACAUUCCAUAGCUCGAGUCACUACAGUUUGCUAGAAACAUCAAUUGCUUUAGAAUACUUUGAACUAUAAAAUAUAUCGAAUUUUCAUAUAUUAACCAUAUACAUGUGUAACUAUUACUAAUGUCGUCAGUCGUUACAAAAUAAGACAUUCAGGGAGCAGGCUACAAACGCACGCGCCAGCCGAUCCCGCAAGCAAGGGCCUUGCACUAGUCCACGCCCUUCACAGCUCAGCCUUGGACAGGGUGUGGGUGAGCACAGCUGUGCGCUGUGCCCUCGGGCCACAGGUACUGCCAGCUCUAGGGGUGCCUCAAGUCCCCCAACUGCAGAUGGAGACACUGACAGAGACCCCGGCGCCCCGCAACCUCCGCUCAAUUCCCCAGGAACCAGCCCCAACCCUCCGUCCAUGGGCUCAGGUCUCAGGCGACCAGCUGCAGGCUGGGUCCUCUGGGUGAGGGCAGACUGGCUUCAGACGGUCUCAGGAACAAGUCUGGUGCGCCCAGCUGUGUCCAUGCCGCCUCCCUGCACUCAGGCCGGGUGGGCACCGCAGGACCGCUCCUCAGGCGGCUCGGCGGAGGCCGCGGGGUGGCACUGUGAGCUGCUGGGGGAGGUGCCUGCUGCCACCUGCUGGGUCUGGUGGUCCCCAGCAGGGCACCUCAGCCACCAAGCAAGCAGCCGGGCCCCAGGGCCUGCACGAGCGGUCAGCGGGCACGCAGAGCAGGCGCCGGCUGCGGUGUCCUCAGCCCUGGUCUUGACUCGGUCACUGUGAGCUCCCCGGUGGGCCAGGCCCGACUUCUGACCUCACGCUGAGGGCUGGUCGCGGGCUCCGACUUCACCAGGCUCCGCUGUCUACCCAGGGUGGGAGCAGAGCUGCAGACACUUCUGUGCAGUCCUAUUUACAAAGAGCCAGGGCGGAGCGGGGCCUGCGCGCGCGUCCCGUGCGUAGGAGCAGGGGCUCACCUCCCGGGUCCUGGCCAGAGGCUGGCGCCCAGCAGCCGCUGGGCCGGGUGGAGGGCGGCCACGCGCAGAGACGAUAACGCAACAAAAACCUUUAUAUAAACAGUUUAUUUACUCUAAACAGCAACACAGACAAAACGCCAUAUAAACACAAAGGAAGUGGUGCAGAAUGGAGACGCCGGCUGACUUUGGAUCUGAGGCUCAUAAGCAACAGCCCGGGUGGUGGUGAGGGGGAGGGGGCCGGUGUGGUGGUUUUUCAUACAGCCAGCGGGGCUACAAAGGUCUGAAACGUCUGAAGCAUGCCUGCUCUGAGAGC
This is a long non-coding RNA of Dipodomys spectabilis (banner-tailed kangaroo rat), 3444 nucleotides long. RefSeq lists it as uncharacterized. Lineage: Eukaryota; Metazoa; Chordata; Mammalia; Rodentia; Heteromyidae. The record is from RefSeq and is a predicted model, not a curated record. The transcript is spliced from 2 exons.